Molecule: ribosomal RNA, 492 nt
Filed under: uncultured bacterium
Lineage: Bacteria
Description: partial 16S ribosomal RNA
Rfam family: Bacterial small subunit ribosomal RNA
Source: RNAcentral
AGUGAACGCUGGCGGUAGGCCUAACACAUGCAAGUCGAACGGCAGCACAGUAAGAGCUUGCUCUUACGGGUGGCGAGUGGCGGACGGGUGAGGAAUACAUCGGAAUCUACUUUUUCGUGGGGGAUAACGUAGGGAAACUUACGCUAAUACCGCAUACGACCUACGGGUGAAAGCAGGGGAUCUUCGGACCUUGCGCGAUUGAAUGAGCCGAUGUCGGAUUAGCUAGUUGGCGGGGUAAAGGCCCACCAAGGCGACGAUCCGUAGCUGGUCUGAGAGGAUGAUCAGCCACACUGGAACUGAGACACGGUCCAGACUCCUACGAGAGGCAGCAGUGGGGAAUAUUGGACAAUGGGCGCAAGCCUGAUCAAGCCAUACCGCGUGAGUGAAGAAGGCCUUCGGGUUGUAAAGCCCUUUUGUUGGGAAAGAAAAGCAGCAGGUUAAUACCCCGCUGUUCUGACGGUACCCAAAGAAUAAGCACCGGCUAACUUCGUG